Molecule: small nuclear RNA, 69 nt
Filed under: Mustela putorius furo (domestic ferret)
Lineage: Eukaryota; Metazoa; Chordata; Mammalia; Carnivora; Mustelidae
Description: U4 spliceosomal RNA
Rfam family: U4 spliceosomal RNA
About the family: U4 small nuclear RNA (U4 snRNA) is a component of the major U2-dependent spliceosome.
Source: Rfam by way of RNAcentral
AGCUUUGUGCAGUGGCAGUAUCAUAGCCAAUGAGGUUUAUCCGAGGCAUGAUUACUGCUAAUUGAGAAU